Molecule: ribosomal RNA, 427 nt
Filed under: uncultured bacterium
Lineage: Bacteria
Description: bacterial SSU rRNA
Rfam family: Bacterial small subunit ribosomal RNA
Source: RNAcentral
UGGGGAAUAUUGGACAAUGGGCGAAAGCCUGAUCCAGCCAUGCCGCGUGUGUGAAGAAGGUCUUCGGAUUGUAAAGCACUUUAAGUUGGGAGGAAGGGCAGUUACCUAAUACGUGAUUGUUUUUACGUUACCGACAGACUAAGCCCCGGCUAACUCUGUGCCCGCAGCCGCGGUAAUACAGCGGGUGCAAGCGUUAAUCGGAAUUACUGGGCGUAAAGCGCGCGUAGGUGGUUGGUUAAGUCUGCUGUGAAAACUCCGGGCUCAACCUGGGAACUGCAGUCAAAACUGACUGACUAGAGUAUGGGAGAGGGUGGUGGAAUUUCCUGUGUAGCGGUGAAAUGCGUAGAUAUAGGAAGGAACACCAGAAGCGAAGGCGACCACCGGGACUGAUACUGACACUGAGGUUCGAAAGCGUGGGGAGCAAACA